AGUGAGAAGAAGUUGGGAAUGUUAAAGC
Molecule: non-coding RNA, 28 nt
Filed under: Rattus norvegicus (Norway rat)
Lineage: Eukaryota; Metazoa; Chordata; Mammalia; Rodentia; Muridae
Source: RNAcentral